GAUGAACGCUGGCGGCGUGCCUAAUACAUGCCAGUCGAGCGAACGGACGAGAAGCUUGCUUCUCUGAUGUUAGCGGCGGACGGGUGAGUAACACGUGGAUAACCUACCUAUAAGACUGGGAUAACUUCGGGAAACCGUAGCUAAUACCGGAUAAUAUUUUGAACCGCAUGGUUCAAAAGUGAAAGACGGUCUUGCUGUCACUUAUAGAUGGAUCCGCGCUGCAUUAGCUAGUUGGUAAGGCAACGGCUUACCAAGGCAACGAUGCAUAGCCGACCUGAGAGGGUGAUCGGCCACACUGGAACUGAGACACGGUCCAGACUCCUACGGGAGGCAGCAGUAGGGAAUCUUCCGCAAUGGGCGAAAGCCUGACGGAGCAACGCCGCGUGAGUGAUGAAGGUCUUCGGAUCGUAAAACUCUGUUAUUAGGGAAGAACAUAUGUGUAAGUAACUGUGCACAUCUUGACGGUACCUAAUCAGAAAGCCACGGCUAACUACGUG
Molecule: ribosomal RNA, 497 nt
Filed under: uncultured bacterium
Lineage: Bacteria
Description: partial 16S ribosomal RNA
Rfam family: Bacterial small subunit ribosomal RNA
Source: RNAcentral